Molecule: ribosomal RNA, 702 nt
Filed under: Penicillium commune
Lineage: Eukaryota; Fungi; Ascomycota; Eurotiomycetes; Eurotiales; Aspergillaceae
Description: eukaryotic LSU rRNA
Rfam family: 5.8S ribosomal RNA (bases 162-314)
Source: RNAcentral
UCUGGGUCCACCUCCCACCCGUGUUUAUUUUACCUUGUUGCUUCGGCGGGCCCGCCUUAACUGGCCGCCGGGGGGCUCACGCCCCCGGGCCCGCGCCCGCCGAAGACACCCUCGAACUCUGUCUGAAGAUUGAAGUCUGAGUGAAAAUAUAAAUUAUUUAAAACUUUCAACAACGGAUCUCUUGGUUCCGGCAUCGAUGAAGAACGCAGCGAAAUGCGAUACGUAAUGUGAAUUGCAAAUUCAGUGAAUCAUCGAGUCUUUGAACGCACAUUGCGCCCCCUGGUAUUCCGGGGGGCAUGCCUGUCCGAGCGUCAUUGCUGCCCUCAAGCCCGGCUUGUGUGUUGGGCCCCGUCCUCCGAUCUCCGGGGGACGGGCCCGAAAGGCAGCGGCGGCACCGCGUCCGGUCCUCGAGCGUAUGGGGCUUUGUCACCCGCUCUGUAGGCCCGGCCGGCGCUUGCCGAUCAACCCAAAUUUUUAUCCAGGUUGACCUCGGAUCAGGUAGGGAUACCCGCUGAACUUAAGCAUAUCAAUAAGCGGAGGAACCGAGUGAGGGCCCUCUGGGUCCAACCUCCACGUGUUUAUUUUACCUUGUUGCUUCGGCGGGCCGCUUAACUGGCNNGGGGGCUCANCGGCGCGCGCCNCNAAGANACCUCGAACUCUGUCUGAAGAUUGAAGUCUGAGUGAAAAUAUAAAUUAUUUAAA